Molecule: small RNA, 27 nt
Filed under: Bombyx mori (domestic silkworm)
Lineage: Eukaryota; Metazoa; Arthropoda; Insecta; Lepidoptera; Bombycidae
Description: ovarian small RNA-12971
Source: RNAcentral
CACCUCAGCAGGAGCUUGGCCGUCGAC